AUUGAACGCUGGCGGCAUGCCUUACACAUGCAAGUCGAACGGCAGCGCGGACUUCGGUCUGGCGGCGAGUGGCGAACGGGUGAGUAAUACAUCGGAACGUACCCUGUUGUGGGGGAUAACUAGUCGAAAGAUUAGCUAAUACCGCAUACGACCUGAGGGUGAAAGUGGGGGACCGCAAGGCCUCACGCAGCAGGAGCGGCCGAUGUCUGAUUAGCUAGUUGGUGGGGUAAAGGCCCACCAAGGCGACGAUCAGUAGCUGGUCUGAGAGGACGAGCGGCCAAACUGGGACUGAGACACGGCCCAGACUCCUACGGGAGGCAGCAGUGGGGAAUUUUGGACAAUGGGGGCAACCCUGAUCCAGCAAUGCCGCGUGUGUGAAGAAGGCCUUCGGGUUGUAAAGUACUUUUGUCCGGAAAGAAAUCGCGCUGGUUAAUACCUGGCGUGGAUGACGGUACCGGAAGAAUAAGCACCGGCUAACUACGUGCCAGCCGCCGCCGUAA
Molecule: ribosomal RNA, 500 nt
Filed under: uncultured bacterium
Lineage: Bacteria
Description: partial 16S ribosomal RNA
Rfam family: Bacterial small subunit ribosomal RNA
Source: RNAcentral